RNAcentral lists this ribosomal RNA (424 nucleotides) under uncultured bacterium. RNAcentral's name for it is "bacterial SSU rRNA". It matches the Rfam family "Bacterial small subunit ribosomal RNA", at positions 54 to 477 of the family's 1533-position model. The record is from RNAcentral.
CAUGCAGUCGAACGGUAGCACAGAGAGCUUGCUCUUGGGUGACGAGUGGCGGACGGGCCAUUUAUGUCUGGGAAACUGCCCGAUGGAGGGGGAUAACUACUGCAUUCGGUAGCUAAUACCGCAUAACGUCGCAAGACCAAAGUGGGGGACCUUCGGGCCUCACACCAUCGGAUGUGCCCAGAUGGGAUUAGCUAGUUGGUGAGGUAAUGGCUCACCAAGGCGACGAUCCCUAGCUGGUCUGAGAGGAUGACCAGCCACACUGGAACUGAGACACGGUCCAGACUCCUACGGGAGGCAGCAGUGGGGAAUAUUGCACAAUGGGCGCAAGCCUGAUGCAGCCAUGCCGCGUGUAUGAAGAAGGCCUUCGGGUUGUAAAGUACUUUCAGCGAGGAGGAAGGCAUUAAGGUUAAUAACCUUAGUGAUA